This 623-nucleotide long non-coding RNA is filed under the name Nicotiana benthamiana. Its description in RNAcentral is "long non-coding RNA (NBEN_LNC037134)". The record is from RNAcentral. Lineage: Eukaryota; Viridiplantae; Streptophyta; Magnoliopsida; Solanales; Solanaceae.
UGCAUUCAGCUCUGCAAAUCAACCAACUUCCUGCAAAGAAAGUAAGAAACCUUGAAAAUGGUUUUUAAUAAAUUACUCAUGCUUUUCACGUUAGUCAUUGCAACUCACAUCAGUAUUGCUACAAGCAUAUAACAGAAGUGGAUCAUCAUUACAUGAGUUAUCUAUUGGUCUUGUGUGCCUUAAAAGAAUUUAGGCAGCAGUGACUGACUUCCAAAACACAAUCCUCAAGAAGCUCCUGAAACAAGAUCACGAAUCACCAGCACCUGAGAGCAAUCUUCUCAAAGUGGCAGUCAGUCACUGCUGCUAAAGUUCUCACUGCUUCACACCACAAUAUAAAAAGAAAUAAGAUUGGUUAUCAUAAGAAAAUUUGACAAGUAAAUACGUAGAAAGAUUACCAUAGUCGACCAUGUUUGCAUUUCAAUAUCAUAGUCCUACCAGCUAAAGGACUAAAGCAUGCAUGACCAAUGAUACUACUCACAAAUUAGCUAAGGACUAAUUUCAAUUCUUUCUGCAAAUCAACUCUGGACAUGGAAACUAAUCAGGAAGACCAUAACAUGCUUUAGUUGGACAGCUAUACUGGAGGCAUGCUUGAGACAAGAUAACCUUUGUAAAAGAGAUUUUCC